AGCGCAGGCGGGAAACUAAGCGGAUCUUAAAAGUGCGGGGCUCAACCCCGUGAUGGGGUCCGAACUAGUUUUCUUGAGUGCAGGAGAGGAAAGCGGAAUUCCCAGUGUAGCGGUGAAAUGCGUAGAUAUUGGGAAGAACACCAGUGGCGAAGGCGGCUUUCUGGACUGUAACUGACGCUGAGGCUCGAAAGCUAGGGUAGCGAAC
This 205-nucleotide ribosomal RNA is filed under the name uncultured bacterium. Its description in RNAcentral is "partial 16S ribosomal RNA". It matches the Rfam family "Bacterial small subunit ribosomal RNA", at positions 568 to 773 of the family's 1533-position model. The record is from RNAcentral.